This 622-nucleotide ribosomal RNA is filed under the name Diplostomum indistinctum. RNAcentral describes it as "partial large subunit ribosomal RNA". The stretch from base 1 to 91 matches the Rfam family "Archaeal large subunit ribosomal RNA", at positions 464 to 553 of the family's 2987-position model. The record is from RNAcentral. Lineage: Eukaryota; Metazoa; Platyhelminthes; Trematoda; Diplostomida; Diplostomidae.
UACUAGCACGAGUCCGAUAGCGAACAAGUACCGUGAGGGAAAGUUGAAAAGUACUUUGAAGAGAGAGUAAACAGUGCGUGAAACCGCUCAGAGGUAAACGGGUGGAGUUGAACUGUAAGCUCCGGGGAUUCAGCUGGUGAGUGUGUCAUGAGCUUGGUCAUUUUCGGCCGGCCUCUAGAGUCCGCUUAGCUGCGGGUCCUUGCUUCUUCGGGAGUGAGGGUGCGCGUCGCACUUGUCAAGUGCUGUGCGCUCUGGGGGUUGCCGGGCUGGCUCGCCGGUGCACUUUCUCGGAGUGGUCACCACGACCGGCGUUGUUGUCUUGCUGCUGUAGUCGAACCGGUCAGGUUUGGUCCUUGUGGCUGAAUUUGAUCGGGAUGGCAGGUAGCUCAUUGGUUGGCUUGUCCAGUCUUUGGGUGUAAUCAGCUGGCUGCAGUAGUAGUGUGCAAUACGUCGGAGACGGCGGCUCGAGGUAUUUGCUUAUGUGCUGUUGGCUGGCGGUGUCGGGUUUGAUUGGCGUGUUUACCUGCUUCGGCAGGUCCGCUGGUAGCUCGGUGCCGUUCGGUUGGCAGUUGCAUUUGUGAUACCGCUCAUGGGCCCAUAGUCUGUGGUGUAGCAGCAAACG